AGAGUUUGAUCCUGGCUCAGGACGAACGCUGGCGGCGUGCUUAACACAUGCAAGUCGAACGGAAAGGCCCUUCGGGGUACUCGAGUGGCGAACGGGUGAGUAACACGUGGGUGAUCUGCCCUGCACUUUGGGAUAAGCCUGGGAAACUGGGUCUAAUACCGAAUAUGACCAUGCACUUCCUGGUGUGUGGUGGAAAGCUUUUGCGGUGUGGGAUGGGCCCGCGGCCUAUCAGCUUGUUGGCGGGGUAAUGGCCUACCAAGGCGACGACGGGUAGCCGGCCUGAGAGGGUGACCGGCCACACUGGGACUGAGAUACGGCCCAGACUCCUACGGGAGGCAGCAGUGGGGAAUAUUGCACAAUGGGCGCAAGCCUGAUGCAGCGACGCCGCGUGAGGGAUGACGGCCUUCGGGUUGUAAACCUCUUUCAGCACAGACGAAGCGCAAGUGACGGUAUGUGCAGAAGAAGGACCGGCCAACUACGUGCCAGCAGCCGCGGUAAUACGUAGGGUCCGAGCAUUGUCCGGAAUUACUGGGCGUAAAGAGCUCGUAGGUGGUUUGUCGCGUUGUUCGUGAAAACUCACAGCUUAACUGUGGGCGUGCGGGCGAUACGGGCAGACUUGAGUACUGCAGGGGAGACUGGAAUUCCUGGUGUAGCGGUGGAAUGCGCAGAUAUCAGGAGGAACACCGGUGGCGAAGGCGGGUCUCUGGGCAGUAACUGACGCUGAGGAGCGAAAGCGUGGGGAGCGAACAGGAUUAGAUACCCUGGUAGUCC
Molecule: ribosomal RNA, 771 nt
Filed under: uncultured bacterium
Lineage: Bacteria
Description: bacterial SSU rRNA
Rfam family: Bacterial small subunit ribosomal RNA
Source: RNAcentral